Molecule: long non-coding RNA, 454 nt
Filed under: Ananas comosus (pineapple)
Lineage: Eukaryota; Viridiplantae; Streptophyta; Magnoliopsida; Poales; Bromeliaceae
Description: long non-coding RNA (ACOM_LNC008435)
Source: RNAcentral
UUUAGUUAAAUUUCAAAUAUAACAGGGGUAUUUAUGAAAUAAAGUAAGUAAUUGACCAUUAAAUAUAAGAGGGGUAAAGUUGGAAUUUAAAUAUUAUUAACUUCAAUUUGGAUGGGCACUUAAUGGUAGGGUUAUUUUUGAAAGUUUUUUAAAUUUAGGAGGGUAUACAUGAUAUUUCAAUUUUUAGAUGGGUAUUUAUGAAAUUAGAUAGUUUUAGAAGGGUAUUGAGGAAAUUUUUCCAAAAACUUUGGUAUAAAUAAAGUUUCUACCAUUAAAUUAAAAUCUAAUAGAUAAAAUCUCAUAAAUUUAUUUUCUAUAUAUAUUCUUUUUAAUCCUUCUAACUUGUUAUUCGUGAGCCAACUCGUGUUCAACUCGUCAAAAAAAUAAGCUGAACACGAGUUAAAUUUUUUGGCUCGAUACUUGAACGAAGCAGCUCAUGUUGAAACGAGCCGAA